AACGAACGCUGGCGGCAUGCCUAACACAUGCAAGUCGAACGAGACCUUCGGGUCUAGUGGCGCACGGGUGCGUAACGCGUGGGAACCUGCCCUUAGGUUCGGAAUAACUCCCCGAAAGGGGUGCUAAUACCGGAUAAUGUCUUCGGACCAAAGAUUUAUCGCCUUUGGAUGGGCCCGCGUUGGAUUAGCUAGUUGGUAGGGUAAAAGCCUACCAAGGGGACGAUCCAUAGCUGGUCUGAGAGGAUGAUCAGCCACACUGGGACUGAGACACGGCCCAGACUCCUACGGGAGGCAGCAGUAGGGAAUAUUGGACAAUGGGCGAAAGCCUGAUCCAGCAAUGCCGCGUGAGUGAUGAAGGCCUUAGGGUUGUAAAGCUCUUUUAACCGGGAUGAUAAUGACAGUACCGGGAGAAUAAGCUCCGGCUAACUCCGUG
This 433-nucleotide ribosomal RNA is filed under the name uncultured bacterium. RNAcentral describes it as "partial 16S ribosomal RNA". It matches the Rfam family "Bacterial small subunit ribosomal RNA", at positions 29 to 507 of the family's 1533-position model. The record is from RNAcentral.